GCUCCACUAAAAGGCAGUAGGCGGAACUUCGGCUUUCUCUCGGCCUUAGCGCCAUCUUCUUAGAAACCUCCGCACUAUGAGGGCCAAGUGGAGGAAGAAGCGAAUGCGCAGGCUGAAGCGCAAAAGAAGAAAGAUGAGGCAGAGGUCCAAGUAAACCUCUCGCUUGUGCACCCGUGGAGGCCACAGAAGCAGAAACAUGGAAUGCCAGAGGCUCGGGACGCUGGUACAAGUUGUCUAACUCGUCUCUCCAGGAAUCUAGAACUCCACGCCAUCCGAUCGUCAAGACCGCCUCUGAGAGACCCACCUUGCUCAUCAUACCAAAACAGUUCCCGUUGGUCCUUGGCCCUGAACCUGUGACAUUCUGGACUAGUUCUGUGUUGAGUUGUGGCCGAAUGUAACGAGUGUACAAUAAAUCAUCUCUUCUGGUGUCUUAGCUGAAGAA
This is a long non-coding RNA of Carlito syrichta (Philippine tarsier), 442 nucleotides long. RefSeq lists it as uncharacterized. NCBI's taxonomy places the organism in Eukaryota, Metazoa, Chordata, Mammalia, Primates, Tarsiidae. The transcript is spliced from 4 exons. The record is from RefSeq and is a predicted model, not a curated record.